UUCCAGACUCCUACGGGAGGCAGCAGUAGGGAAUCUUUCACAAUGGGCGAAAGCCUGAUGGAGCAACGCCGCGUGCAGGAUGAAGGCCUUCGGGUUGUAAACUGCUUUUAUAAGCGAGAAAUAUGAUGGUAACUUAUGAAUAAGGAUCGGCUAACUACGUGCCAGCAGCCGCGGUAAUACGUAGGGGGCAAGCGUUAUCCGGAAUUACUGGGUGUAAAGGGAGCGCAGACGGCAGUGCAAGUCUGGAGUGAAAGCCCGUGGCUUAACCACGGGACUGCUCUGGAAACUGUGCAGCUAGAGUGCAGGAGAGGCAGGCGGAAUUCCUAGUGUAGCGGUGAAAUGCGUAGAUAUUAGGAGGAACACCGGUGGCGAAGGCGGCCUGCUGGACUGUAACUGACGUUGAGGCUCGAAAGCGUGGGGAGCAAACAGGAUUAGAUACCCGGGUACC
This 448-nucleotide ribosomal RNA is filed under the name uncultured bacterium. RNAcentral's name for it is "bacterial SSU rRNA". It matches the Rfam family "Bacterial small subunit ribosomal RNA", at positions 329 to 794 of the family's 1533-position model. The record is from RNAcentral.